UACGUAGGGUGCGAGCGUGUCCGGAAUUAUUGGGCGUAAAGGGCUCGUAGGCGGUUUGUCGCGUCGGGAGUGAAACUCAGGGCUUAACCCUGAGCCUGCUUCCGAAUACGGGCAGACUAGAGGUAUGCAGGGGAGAACGGAAUUCCUGGUGUAGCGGUGAAAUGCGCAGAUAUCAGGAGGAACACCGGUGGCGAAGGCGGGUCUCUGGGCCGAUACUGACGUGAGGAGCGAAAAGCGUGGGGGAGCGAACAGG
Molecule: ribosomal RNA, 253 nt
Filed under: uncultured bacterium
Lineage: Bacteria
Description: partial 16S ribosomal RNA
Rfam family: Bacterial small subunit ribosomal RNA
Source: RNAcentral